UGCCGAUCUCGAAAACCUGUCCCAGUUCGGACUGGAGUCUGCAACCCGACUCCACGAAGUUGGAUUCGCUAGUAAUCGCGCAUCAGCCAUGGCGCGGUGAAUACGUUCCCGGGCCUUGUACACACCGCCCGUCAAGCCAUGGGAGCCGGGGGCGCCUGAAGUCCGGGACCGCGAGGACCGGCCUAGGGCGAAACUGGUGACUGGGGCUAAGUCGUAACAAGGUACC
This 226-nucleotide ribosomal RNA is filed under the name uncultured bacterium. RNAcentral describes it as "partial 16S ribosomal RNA". It matches the Rfam family "Bacterial small subunit ribosomal RNA", at positions 1266 to 1500 of the family's 1533-position model. The record is from RNAcentral.